This 65-nucleotide transfer RNA is filed under the name Geothelphusa dehaani. Its description in RNAcentral is "tRNA-Pro". Lineage: Eukaryota; Metazoa; Arthropoda; Malacostraca; Decapoda; Potamidae. The record is from RNAcentral.
CAGAGGGUAGUUUAAAAUAAAAUAUUAAUUUUGGGGAUUAAAGAAAAAAAUUAUUUUUUCUCUGA